This 1011-nucleotide long non-coding RNA is filed under the name Canis lupus familiaris (dog). Its description in RNAcentral is "lncRNA (ENSCAFG00845019645.1)". The record is from RNAcentral. Lineage: Eukaryota; Metazoa; Chordata; Mammalia; Carnivora; Canidae.
GGCCCCCGGCCAUUUGGUGUGGGCCCGCACCCCGCUCUCCCGCCAAACCCGCUGUCGUCUGGGCCCCCCUCCACGGCGGGUCCCAGCUCAAGGGGAGGGGCCACCCCAGCCCUAGGCUGCCCUCGGGGGUCACCCCGCCCUGCCCGGCCUCCAGCCACCUCCUCUCCCGUUUCCACCGGAGACUGCCCGUGUGGACCUGGCCUGCCGUGUGGACCUGGCCUGCCGUGGGCGCGCAGUGUGGCCCGUGAGGGGGUGGGGCCGGCGGUGGCGCCGUCGGGGAGCCCUCCCGGCCAGGCCCGCGCCCUCCGCAGCAGCCCAGGCACAGACCUGGCGGGGGAUGGCGCGACGUCACGCCGCACCUGCCAGCUCCGCGGGGCCGCGGUGGGGGGCGUCUGGGCCCCGGGCAUCCCAGGACCAGCCCUGCGGGAGGGGCACCGUGCGCCCUCGUGGCCCCACCCACCUCACCUGUCGGGCCGUACCUGCGGGGGGGGGGGGGCGGUGCAAGGUGACUCAGCGGGCAGCGCGGUGGGGGAAGGGAGCGCCCGGGGCCUGAACCGGGCGGGGGGUGGGGUGGGGAGAGCUUCGCGAGCGUGGGGGGGGGCAGACACGACCUGGUUUCCAGCGCGGGCCUCUCAGAGCCCUUCAUACCCACCUGCGCCGCGGCCUGCGGCCGGGACCCCACAAGGCACACGGGGCGAGGCCGGCGCGGUGUCCCCGACGCCACGGGCCUGGGCCUGGACCUGGACGGACAGCGCGCUCGCCUGCUUCCCUCCUCCCCUCCCUCCUCCCCUCCCUCCUCUCCUCCCUCCCUCCACUCGCUCCUCCGCGGGCGCAGCUGCGUCCCCGGCCUCGGAGGGUCGCGCGGAGGCGCACGCUCGGCCCCCCACCCCUCCCCGGGCAGGGAAGCUCGCCGGCGACGCGGGGUCCUCGGGAGCGCCCCUCCGGCCUGGCGAGCCCCCGCCCGUGCCACGCGCCCCCGCCCGCCGCAGCCCCCGGGCCUGGAGCGCCCGC